GACGAACGCUGGCGGCGUGCCUAAUACAUGCAAGUCGAACGCAGUGGGGACGGGUGAGUAACACGUGGGUAACCUCCCAUCAGAGGGGAUAACACUUGGCAACAGGUGCUAAACCGAUACUGAUGGAUGGACCCGCGGUGCAUUAGAUAGUUGGUGAGGUAACGGCUCACCAAGGCCACGAUGCAUAGCCGACCUGAUAGGGUGAUCGGAGACACUGGGACUGAGACACGGCCUAGACUCGUACGAGAGGCAGCAGUAGGGAAUCUUCGGCAAUGGUCGUAAGUCUGAACGAGCAACGCCGCGUGAUUGAAGAAGGUUUUCGGAUCGUAAAACUCUGUUGGUAGAGAAGCGGUAUCUAACGAGAAAGCCACGGCUAACUACGUGCCAGCAGCCGCGGUAAUAC
RNAcentral lists this ribosomal RNA (403 nucleotides) under uncultured bacterium. RNAcentral's name for it is "partial 16S ribosomal RNA". It matches the Rfam family "Bacterial small subunit ribosomal RNA", at positions 28 to 526 of the family's 1533-position model. The record is from RNAcentral.